Molecule: ribosomal RNA, 412 nt
Filed under: uncultured eukaryote
Lineage: Eukaryota
Description: SSU rRNA
Rfam family: Eukaryotic small subunit ribosomal RNA
Source: RNAcentral
AGCUCCAAUAGCGUAUACUAAAAUUGUUGCGAUUAAAAAGCUCGUAGUUGGAUUACAGUUCCGGACUGAUGGUACACCUCCCGGUGUUCACUGUCACGCUCCGAACCGCCUGGUACGUAACAGUACAGGCCCCGCUGGCACGCCCGGGGUGCUCUUGAUCGAGUGUCCCGAGUGGCUGGCAAGUUUACUUUGAAAAAAUUAGAGUGCUCAGAGCAGGCUACAUGAAUGGCCUAAAUGUCUAUGCAUGGAAUAAUGGAAUAGGACCUCGGUUCUAUUUUGUCGGUUUUCCUCGGAACCCGAGGUAAUGAUUAAUAGGGACAAGCGGGGGCAUUCGUAUUGCGACGCUAGAGGUGAAAUUCUUGGACCGUCGCAAGACGAACAACUGCGAAAGCAUCUGCCAAGGAUGUUUUCC